RNAcentral lists this ribosomal RNA (404 nucleotides) under uncultured prokaryote. Its description in RNAcentral is "bacterial SSU rRNA". It matches the Rfam family "Bacterial small subunit ribosomal RNA", at positions 355 to 776 of the family's 1533-position model. The record is from RNAcentral. RNAcentral also lists the same sequence under 1 other name.
UGGGGAAUAUUGGACAAUGGGGGCAACCCUGAUCCAGCAAUGCCGCGUGUGUGAAGAAGGUCUUCGGAUUGUAAAGCACUUUCGACGGGGACGAUGAUGACGGUACCUGUAGAAGAAGCUCCGGCUAACUUCGUGCCAGCAGCCGCGGUAAUACGAAGGGGGCAAGCGUUGCUCGGAAUGACUGGGCGUAAAGGGCGUGUAGGCGGUUUAUAGGGUUAGGUGUGAAAUUCCUGAGCUUAACUUGGGGGCUGCAUUUAAUACGUAUAGGCUAGAGUGUGAGAGAGGGUUGUGGAAUUCCCAGUGUAGAGGUGAAAUUCGCAGAUAUUGGGAAGAACACCUGUGGCGAAGGCGGCAACCUGGCUCAUGACUGACGCUGAGGCGCGAGAGCGUGGGGAGCGAACAGG